AUUGAACGCUGGCGGCAGGCCUAACACAUGCAAGUCGAACGAGUGGCGGACGGGUGAGUAAUGUCUGGGAAACUGCCUGAUGGAGGGGGAUAACUACUGGAAACGGUAGCUAAUACCACAUACCAUCAGAUGUGCCCAGAUGGGAUUAGCUAGUAGGUGGGGUAACGGCUCACCCAGGCGACGAUCCCUAGCUGGUCUGUGAGGAUGACCAGCCACACUGGAACUGAGAAAAGGUCCAGACUCCUACGGGAGGCAGCAGUGGGGAAUAUUGCACAAUGGGCGCAAGCCUGAUGCAGCCAUGCCGCGUGUAUGAAGAAGGCCUUCGGGUUGUAAAGUACUUUCAGCGGGGAGGCGUUACCCGCAGAAGAAGCACCGGCUAACUCCGUGCCAGCAGCCGCGGUAAUAC
RNAcentral lists this ribosomal RNA (406 nucleotides) under uncultured bacterium. Its description in RNAcentral is "partial 16S ribosomal RNA". It matches the Rfam family "Bacterial small subunit ribosomal RNA", at positions 30 to 526 of the family's 1533-position model. The record is from RNAcentral.